Molecule: ribosomal RNA, 288 nt
Filed under: Cryptosporidium sp. Morro Bay New-2
Lineage: Eukaryota; Apicomplexa; Conoidasida; Eucoccidiorida; Cryptosporidiidae
Description: partial 18S ribosomal RNA
Rfam family: Eukaryotic small subunit ribosomal RNA
Source: RNAcentral
GUGACAAGAAAUAACAAUACAGGGCCUAACGGUCUUGUAAUUGGAAUGAGUGAAGUAUAAACCCCCUUUACAAGUAUCAAUUGGAGGGCAAGUCUGGUGCCAGCAGCCGCGGUAAUUCCAGCUCCAAUAGCGUAUAUUAAAGUUGUUGCAGUUAAAAAGCUCGUAGUUGGAUUUCUGUUGUAUUUUUAUAAUAUUAUUAAGGUAAUAUUUAUAAUAUCAACAUCCUUCCUAUUAUAUUUUUAAUAUAUAGGAAAUUUUACUUUGAGAAAAUUAGAGUGCUUAAAGCAG